RNAcentral lists this ribosomal RNA (575 nucleotides) under uncultured Flexibacter sp. RNAcentral's name for it is "bacterial SSU rRNA". It matches the Rfam family "Bacterial small subunit ribosomal RNA", at positions 8 to 573 of the family's 1533-position model. The record is from RNAcentral. Lineage: Bacteria; Pseudomonadati; Bacteroidota; Cytophagia; Cytophagales; Flexibacteraceae.
AGAGUUUGAUCAUGGCUCAGGAUGAACGCUAGCGGCAGGCCUAACACAUGCAAGUCGAGGGGCAGCACAAAGAUAGCCUGCUAUUUUGGUGGCGACCGGCGCACGGGUGCGUAACGCGUAUGCAAUCUACCUUAUACUGGGGUAUAGCCCGAAGAAAUUCGGAUUAAUCCCCCAUAGUACUGAUAUACCUCAUGGUAAUUCAGUUAAAGUUUCGGCGGUAUGAGAUGAGCAUGCGUCCUAUUAGCUAGAUGGUAAGGUAACGGCUUACCAUGGCUACGAUAGGUAGGGGGCCUGAGAGGGUGACCCCCCACACUGGUACUGAGACACGGACCAGACUCCUACGGGAGGCAGCAGUGAGGAAUAUUGGUCAAUGGGCGCAAGCCUGAACCAGCCAUGCCGCGUGCAGGAAGAAUGCCCUAUGGGUUGUAAACUGCUUUUAUUUAGGAAUAAACCUUUCUACGUGUAGAAAGCUGAAGGUACUGAAUGAAUAAGCACCGGCUAACUCCGUGCCAGCAGCCGCGGUAAUACGGAGGGUGCAAGCGUUAUCCGGAAUCAUUGGGUUUAAAGGGUCCGCA